UAAUUCCUUCUUUCUUGUCGAUCUGAUUCUCUUCUUCAUCUUCAUCGGCGAUCUCUCGAUCUCAAUCUCAAGAGAUCGAGAAGAAAAACAUUGAUCUCUCAAUCUCCGAUCUCUUCUUAUCAUUCUCUUCUUCACCAUCGAUCUCUCAAUCUCCAAUCUCUUCUUCCUCAUCAACCUUCCACAUCGAUCACAAGAGAAAAAGUUAUCUUCAAAGUUCAAAUCUCAAGAGAGAGGCGAAGUUCUCUUCAGACGAAAUUGGAGUUUUUUGCUUCUCACUUUCUCUCCUUAAGGUAUUUCGAAUUGAACGAUUGUUUAUGAUUUUCAAUUGAUUUCCAGCUUCAUUCUUCUCUCAAUUGUUUAUGAUUGUUUAUGACUUAGGGUUCUAAAUCAAAGGUUUUAUCAAUCUCUAUUGUUUAUGUAAAUUUUUGUUGAUCGAAUUUCACUGAUUCCAGUUUAUUGACUUAUAAAUGUGAUUGAGAUUGUUAGGUUUAAUGGUCAUUAUACAUUUAUAGAGCAAUAAACUCAAUUCAUACUUUAUAGGUACCUUAAUAAUUGUAGGAACUUUAGCAAUAAACUCAAUCCAUACUUUAUAGGUACCUUGAUAAUUGUAGGAACUUUAGCAAUAAACUCAAUCCAUACUUAAUAUAGAGCUCUUGUUACUGGAAAUUCCAUUGUUUUGCACAGACUUGUUCAUCAUUAUAUGAUAAUAAUAAUUUCACGACUUUGGUUUUAUUGCUAAAAUUCCUAUAAUUACGAAUCAUACAUUAUGUAAGGUUGAAAUACACAAUAACACAAUUGGUGCUCGAUACAGAUACUAAAUCCGCUUGUUGUAAAGAGCUAAUAUCUAGGUACAAUAGUUUGCUUCUUACUCUUCUUUCUCUCACUUGUACUUCUUAUUUUGACAAUGUUGAGUCCCUUUAUCAUUUGUUGUUUCUUCACACUUCAUAAUUCUAAUCUGAUAACACUAAUUAGUUUUUUUUUGUGCGUAAUAUCUAUAUUUAUAUCUAUUCGUUCUAAUGACUAGUGGCUUUGACAAUUAGAACCAUAACAAUUCCGGAAUCAAAUAUUAUACCAAAAUAUUGAGUGAAUUAUAAUAUCUAGGGAUUUAAACGGACCAAUAUUCUGUUGUUUUUUCACUCAACAUUUUGAUUAAUCUCCUCAUAUUAAUUGUUUACUUAUUAUUGUCUGUAGUAUUUUGUUGAAUUGC
RNAcentral lists this long non-coding RNA (1207 nucleotides) under Aquilegia coerulea. RNAcentral describes it as "long non-coding RNA (ACOE_LNC002245)". Lineage: Eukaryota; Viridiplantae; Streptophyta; Magnoliopsida; Ranunculales; Ranunculaceae. The record is from RNAcentral.